ACCUAUCAUUUGAAGAAUCGUGAUGCCUGCGCGAGGAAGACUUUCGCGAAAAUAAUCCCCCAUACAGAGAGAGAGAGAGACCGGGAGAGACAGAGAGCGAGAGAGAGAGCGCGCACGCUGGGCAUUACAGACCGCAACCUGAUACCUCUGUCACGUACCACACGCACAGACGCGUCCGCAGAUGAGUCCAGAUAUGAGAAUGUGUGUAUAAGAUCUACAAACACAUUCUUCAGGGAUCUCAUUCAUCACUUGGUCACUGAACAAACAACACAUUUCACCUCGCGGAGCUCAAAGGAUGACGGAUUGAUUUCACGCACGCCGGGGUUCCGCAUAUGGACAUUAUUAAUAGGGCAAAGUGCACAUCUGGACAUAAUUAAUAUGUCAAAGGUCAAACUCAUUAAUCAUUAUGACGUUUGCUGGCGGUUAUGAACUACUAACAUAAACAUGUAUUUUCAAGAGUAGCACGAAAUUAAACACUGCAACAGGUGGUACAGUGCAAAGCAAAUUGACAUAAGAUUAAAGGUAAGCUACUGUUUUAUUUAUUUUGAUGAAAAUGUUGACAUGGCUCAAAUAUUUAAAUGACUUAAACAAGAUAUGCUGGAAUGUCUUUGUGACGAGUGGGGCGGGGCCGAGAGCCGUGGGAACGGAGCGAGGCCAGUGGAGUGAUUGGGAAAUGAGCAACACCUGCUCCACUCACCGGUCUCGAGUCCCACGGAGGAGAUCGGAAGGAUAUUAAAGAGGAGCGACGACAGUGAAGGACGAGAGAGGACCAGGCCUGGGCUUUAUUUUGUGUUUGGUUUUUGUUUGUGCGCGGCAGUCGACCGUGAGGGGCUGUCGCGCUGUUUUGUGUUUAUUUUGUUAUUAAGGUUUUAUUUGAGUGUUCGCCGGUUCCCGUCUCCUUCUUCCCGUGACUAUGGAGUUUUAUAUUGUUACAGUCUUAUGCCAUGAAGUUACUUCUUUUUUUUUUUUUUAUAAAUUCAUAUUCAGUUUAGCUUCUCUCAAGUGGCUACCAGUGAACAACAGGAAAAUAUAAAACUC
Cyprinus carpio carpio is the source of this 1038-nucleotide long non-coding RNA. The record is from Ensembl. Lineage: Eukaryota; Metazoa; Chordata; Actinopteri; Cypriniformes; Cyprinidae.